RNAcentral lists this unclassified non-coding RNA (253 nucleotides) under uncultured Parcubacteria group bacterium. RNAcentral describes it as "contains 16S-23S intergenic spacer region". It matches the Rfam family "Bacterial small subunit ribosomal RNA", at positions 524 to 776 of the family's 1533-position model. The record is from RNAcentral.
UACGAGUGCCCCGAGCGUUAUCCGGAAUCAUUGGGCGUAAAGGGUGUGUAGGCGGUCUUGUUAGUCCUCUGUUAAAUUCUUCGGCUCAACCGGGGUCAUGCAGGGGAAACGGCAAGACUUGAGGGUGUAAGGGGUGCGCGGAACUCUAGGUGUAGGGGUGAAAUCCGUUGAUAUCUAGGGGAACACCAAAAGCGAAGGCAGCGCACUGGUGCAUUUCUGACGCUGAAACACGAAAGCGUGGGGAUCGAACGGG